Molecule: small nuclear RNA, 284 nt
Filed under: Erinaceus europaeus (western European hedgehog)
Lineage: Eukaryota; Metazoa; Chordata; Mammalia; Eulipotyphla; Erinaceidae
Description: 7SK RNA (ENSEEUG00000021578.1)
Rfam family: 7SK RNA
About the family: 7SK was discovered as an abundant small nuclear RNA in the mid-70s but a possible function has only recently been suggested. Two independent studies have found that 7SK RNA binds the CDK9/cyclin T complex (known as elongation factor P-TEFb).
Source: RNAcentral
GGAUGUGAGGGCGGUCUGGCUGCGACACCUGUCACCCCACUGACCGCCAGGGCUGAUUCGGCCAGGCAGGUGUCCCCUUCCUCCCUCACUGCCCCAUGUGCGUCCCUUUCGAAGCUGCGCACUCGGUCGAAGAGGAUGGCCCUCCCCGAAUAGAGACGGACCUGUCUUCGCUCAAGGGAAUUGGAGUAGCUGCACUCCCCUGCUAGAACCUCCAAGCAAGCUCUCCAGGAUGUGCUGCCCUUAGUAUGAGAAGCACCUUCCUGCACGUGUGUUUGCACAUAGAC